This 216-nucleotide unclassified non-coding RNA is filed under the name uncultured Mycobacteriaceae bacterium. RNAcentral describes it as "contains 16S-23S intergenic spacer region". It matches the Rfam family "Bacterial small subunit ribosomal RNA", at positions 976 to 1193 of the family's 1533-position model. Lineage: Bacteria; Bacillati; Actinomycetota; Actinomycetes; Mycobacteriales; Mycobacteriaceae. The record is from RNAcentral.
UGGGUUUGACAUGCACAGGACGUGCCUAGAGAUAGGUAUUCCCUUGUGGCCUGUGUGCAGGUGGUGCAUGGCUGUCGUCAGCUCGUGUCGUGAGAUGUUGGGUUAAGUCCCGCAACGAGCGCAACCCUUGUCUCAUGUUGCCAGCACGUAAUGGUGGGGACUCGUGAGAGACUGCCGGGGUCAACUCGGAGGAAGGUGGGGAUGACGUGCCGCAAC